Molecule: long non-coding RNA, 1671 nt
Filed under: Cyanistes caeruleus (blue tit)
Lineage: Eukaryota; Metazoa; Chordata; Aves; Passeriformes; Paridae
Description: lncRNA (ENSCCEG00000013400.1)
Source: RNAcentral
AAAGUCAUUCCCGGGAAUCUAGCGGCGCUAGAGCCUACAUUUACAGCCUGUGCGCCCCCCGAGCGUGCCAUCGUCUGUCGCCUUGCGGCCUCGGCGGCCGAGUGCUCAGCAUCGCCGGGAGGAGGGGGAGACAGGAUUGAUCUCUCUCGCCUUCCCCUCGGUGUAUUUGUUUGCGGGGGCUCAGGUUGCUUUCCCCCUUUUGGCAAAGGAGAGCGAUGCAAGCCGGCAGAUACCUUGGGAGCGAGGAGGGUAUUUUGGGGAGUUGCAGUGUUGUGCGGAACAUCAUGUCUGUGCCCUGUGGUGCUGUCAGCGGUGACAGAUCCCAGAUGCAGUCGCUACUGUAUGGCAGAUUGAGUUUCUCAGCAGAAAACUCUCUCCCUCCCUCCCAAACGUCUUCAAAAACCUUCUCCAGAUACUGCGGGUCACUUCGGCUCAAACGGGGAGAGAAAGGGGGGAAAAAAGGCUUUUCUUCUCUCCUCCCUCUCUCUUCCUCCCGCCGGAUCUCUCUGGGGUGCGCGGGGGGCUGUGACCGGGCCCGUGUGCACCCGAGGCCCGAGGCGACCCCUCUCACCCUGGUCGUGCCGGGAGCCCGUCGCCGAGCACGGGGACCGUGGUCCAGGCACACGUUCUCCUCGGGAUGGCCUGAGUUUCCAGGCGCGACAAGGGCAUGAAGCGCAUCCAUCCUCGGGGAGGUGCAGGCAGGCUUGGGGAGCUGCUGUGGCCGGGGGACGGCUGGGCUAGCGCAAGGGCAGGGAACCCUCUCGUUCCCCUGCUGCUGUUUCCUGCGUGUGAAUUCCGCACUUUUGGGAGAAAUUUCAAACAAAGAAAAAUGAACAAAAGGCUGUUCUCCGUUGCCGGAGCUCCUCAGCAACACUGGCUGGGGAGUGCGCGGUGGGCGCGGGCAGCAACCCAGGGGCUGGGACCCCCUGUCUCCGCCGAAGCCCCUCCUGCCAUGGUACUGCGGUGAGCUGCCAGCUGCCAGCACUUUCUGUGUUUUACUGCUCCCCCUCCUUGAAUCCACCGCACUUCCCGGGUCGGGGCUGCCUUGGCAUCCUUCGGACAGCAUCCUGGAGUGCACCGUAUCCCGGGGCAGGGCUGGGAUUUAAAGAGCUCUGAAGAAGGCAAUUUGCUUUUAGGAAACCGGUUCUGGCUUUACUCUGGUGGGAGUCCCGGGGGUAGAAGGGAGGGACGCGUGGUUUGGAGCUCAGGCUCCUGCAGGCGGGGGUGUGUCCGUCCCCGGGCACGGCGGCCGGGCAGGGGGUGCCGGUGGGUCCCGGCGGGAGCUCCUCGGGCACACGGCACGCACGGGCGGCUGCGGGAGGAGCCGCUGGCCGGGCAUCCCGGGGCUGCCCUCCUCCCAGCCCCUUCCCUCUGCCCGGGCAUCCCGGGGCUGCCCUCCUCCCAGCCCCUUCCCUCUGCCCUGCCCGAGUCUGCGCUCGCCCAGCGGGGGAUGCUUAAGGAAUGGAAAAAUUAUCUCCACACGCCGUUUUUAAACUUUCUGGAGCUUCCCCAGAACAAGCGGCAUCCUCAGAUCAUUAGAUCUGUGAGGGUUUUAUACGCACUCCCUCUCCCAGAGUAACGCGCUGCUGGUGCAUUAAGCAGUAGCUGUAGGAAUAUGUGGACAUAAACAUAUAUGUGGGGCAUGGAUUGAAAAGCUGUGCAUCACCUUGG